AUUGAACGCUGGCGGCAUGCCUUACACAUGCAAGUCGAACGGUAACAGGUUAAGCUGACGAGUGGCGAACGGGUGAGUAAUAUAUCGGAACGUGCCCAGUCGUGGGGGAUAACUACUCGAAAGAGUGGCUAAUACCGCAUACGACCUGAGGGUGAAAGCGGGGGAUCGCAAGACCUCGCGCGAUUGGAGCGGCCGAUAUCAGAUUAGGUAGUUGGUGGGGUAAAGGCUCACCAAGCCAACGAUCUGUAGCUGGUCUGAGAGGACGACCAGCCACACUGGGACUGAGACACGGCCCAGACUCCUACGGGAGGCAGCAGUGGGGAAUUUUGGACAAUGGACGCAAGUCUGAUCCAGCCAUGCCGCGUGC
This 367-nucleotide ribosomal RNA is filed under the name uncultured bacterium. RNAcentral describes it as "bacterial SSU rRNA". It matches the Rfam family "Bacterial small subunit ribosomal RNA", at positions 30 to 404 of the family's 1533-position model. The record is from RNAcentral.